UAAUUUUGGUGGUGGGUGACAAAGGUGUAUUUGAUAUUGAUAAAAAGCAGCCAAAGUAUGGAUGAAGAUAAAACACUACUCAUGAAAAUCGAACCAAAACAAGAAGAAGAAAUCCAUUCCUUCCUUCAGGGACACAUUUCAGUAAGCAAUGAAGUUGUGGUGAAAAUAAAGGACGAAAUUACCAUUAGUACACCAUCUUCUAAAUCUUGCAAUGAAGAAGUACGGCAAAACUCUGACUUUCAACGUCACUUUUUAACCCUGUGUAAAACAGUGUCUAACGAUUUUAAAUGUACUAAUUGUGAUUAUCGGACAAAUGUUAAAAGCAACUCAAACAACAUCUUUUAAUACCUAAAGUUUCUGAGGAUUUUAAA
This is a long non-coding RNA of Photinus pyralis (common eastern firefly), 371 nucleotides long. RefSeq lists it as uncharacterized. The transcript is spliced from 2 exons. Lineage: Eukaryota; Metazoa; Arthropoda; Insecta; Coleoptera; Lampyridae. The record is from RefSeq and is a predicted model, not a curated record.